RNAcentral lists this small RNA (504 nucleotides) under uncultured Glomus. RNAcentral's name for it is "SSU rRNA". It matches the Rfam family "Eukaryotic small subunit ribosomal RNA", at positions 569 to 1078 of the family's 1831-position model. The record is from RNAcentral. Lineage: Eukaryota; Fungi; Glomeromycota; Glomeromycetes; Glomerales; Glomeraceae.
AGCAGCCGCGGUAAUUCCAGCUCCAAUAGCGUAUAUUAAAGUUGUUGCAGUUAAAAAGCUCGUAGUUGAAUUUCGGAUCAGUACGCUGGUCGUGCCUUCGGUAUGUACUGGUGUCACUGAUUCCUCCCUUCUGAAGAACCAUCAUGCCAUUCACUUGGUGUGGUGGGGAAUCAGGACUGUUACUUUGAAAAAUUAGAGUGUUUAAAGCAGGCUCGCGCUUGAAUACAUUAGCAUGGGAUAAUGAAAUAGGACGUUAAUCCUAUUUUGUUGGUUUCUAGGAUCGACGUAAUGAUUAAUAGGGAUAGUUGGGGGCAUUAGUAUUCAAUUGUCAGAGGUGAAAUUCUUGGAUUUAUUGAAGACUAACUACUGCGAAAGCAUUUGCCAAGGAUGUUUUCAUUAAUCAAGAACGAAAGUUAGGGGAUCGAAGACGAUCAGAUACCGUCGUAGUCUUAACCAUAAAUUAUGCCGACUAGGGAUCGGAUGAUGUUAAUUUUUAAUGACUCU